UCAUAAUUUGUCUUCUGGUGUGGGAAUAGGUUUCACUCAAACAUACCAGAAACUGCAGUAACAUAUUAGCUUCAAAAUGCUGAGAGUAUUUCGUCGAUUUAGGAAAAGGCAUGAGUGCGUCAAAUUCAUCCCAUAGAUCUUUCAAUUUAGAGAAAUAAUCAACAAUCAUGGUUCCUUAAGUAACACUAUGAAUUUCUAUAUGAAGAUAUAGCACUCUAGAGCAAUCGACUUUAUCGAAUCUUUACUUGAGAUCCUCCCAAACCUUAUGAGCAUCAUAAGCAUACAAAACACUACUCAAUAAGCUCGGUCUAACCGAGUUCAUCAUCCAUGAUAGAAAGACAAUGUUAACUUUUUCCCACUGAUCAUGUAACUCAGGUUCAAAUCUAUUCAGGAAAUCGACCAUAAAAAAACCUAAUUUGCUCUUACCUAAAAGGCCAAUUCUCAUAGCACCACUCCAUAGAGCAUAAUUGUCAGAUCCAGUCAGCUGAAGUGAUAUCAGUAUACUUCUAAGAGUACCUGUUGGCUAUAAGAAUAAAAGAUGAUUGUAAUCGGCUACGGGGAAACUUGUGGUACAUGUUCCCAAAUCACCAUUUCCAGUGUUGGAGGAACAAGUACAUCACUCGAGGGACUCGACUCAGCUCCAAUUGCCACUUUCUAGUAGCAAAGUACUUGUAGAUUAGUUAUAGUGAACAAUUCUGCAAAAUCCUCUCUCAACUCUCAAACCCUAUCUCCUUCUAGCUUAGAUGAACUCUAAGGCAAUUCAACCAGAAAUUGUUGAACAGAAGUUUCUGAGAAGACUGGAGUCAAACUAGAGUUACAAUGAAGAUCUACAUCGGUGGCUCUGAUACCAUAUUAGCAGCCAUAACCAUCAAAGAGAGAGAUAGAGAGAUAGAGAGAGAGAGAGUUGAGAAAGAGGAAGAACACUUUGAGUAAAAUUGGAAAUGCAAUCAUGCGUUUUUCUAUUCAUA
Molecule: long non-coding RNA, 968 nt
Filed under: Nicotiana benthamiana
Lineage: Eukaryota; Viridiplantae; Streptophyta; Magnoliopsida; Solanales; Solanaceae
Description: long non-coding RNA (NBEN_LNC008555)
Source: RNAcentral